UGGGAAUCUUGCGCAAUGGGCGAAAGCCUGACGCAGCCAUGCCGCGUGAGUGAUGAAGGCCUUAGGGUUGUAAAACUCUUUCACCGGGGACGAUAAUGACGGUACCCGGAGAAGAAGCCCCGGCUAACUUCGUGCCAGCAGCCGCGGUAAUACGAAGGGGGCUAGCGUUGCUCGGAAUUACUGGGCGUAAAGGGCGCGUAGGCGGAUCAGCAAGUUGGGGGUGAAAGCCCGGGGCUCAACCUCGGAAUUGCCUUCAAAACUGCUGAUCUAGAGUACGGGAGAGGUGUGUGGAACUCCGAGUGUAGAGGUGAAAUUCGUAGAUAUUCGGAAGAACACCAGUGGCGAAGGCGACACACUGGCCCGUUACUGACGCUGAGGCGCGAAAAGCGUGGGGGAGCAAAACAGGAUUAGAUACCCUGGUAGUCCACGCUGUAAACGAUGAUUGCUAGUUGUCGGCAGGCAUGCCUGUCGGUGACNCAGCUAACGCAUUAAGCAAUCCGCCUGGGGGAGUACGGUCGCAAGAUUAAAAACUCAAAGGAAUUGACGGGGGUC
Molecule: ribosomal RNA, 552 nt
Filed under: uncultured bacterium
Lineage: Bacteria
Description: partial 16S ribosomal RNA
Rfam family: Bacterial small subunit ribosomal RNA
Source: RNAcentral